This 254-nucleotide ribosomal RNA is filed under the name uncultured bacterium. RNAcentral describes it as "partial 16S ribosomal RNA". It matches the Rfam family "Bacterial small subunit ribosomal RNA", at positions 524 to 777 of the family's 1533-position model. The record is from RNAcentral.
UACAGAGGGUGCGAGCGUUAAUCGGAAUUACUGGGCGUAAAGCGUGCGUAGACGGUUAUGUAAGUCGGGUGUGAAAGCCCCGGGCUCAACCUGGGAAUUGCAUUCGAGACUGUGUAGCUAGGGUGCGGAAGAGGGAAGCGGAAUUUCCGGUGUAGCGGUGAAAUGCGUAGAUAUCGGAAGGAACACCAGUGGCGAAAGCGGCUUCCUGGUCCAGCACCGGACGUCAGGCACGAAAGCGUGGGGAGCAAACAGGG